RNAcentral lists this ribosomal RNA (1429 nucleotides) under Salmonella enterica. Its description in RNAcentral is "partial 23S ribosomal RNA". It matches the Rfam family "Bacterial large subunit ribosomal RNA", at positions 161 to 1548 of the family's 2925-position model. The record is from RNAcentral. Lineage: Bacteria; Pseudomonadati; Pseudomonadota; Gammaproteobacteria; Enterobacterales; Enterobacteriaceae.
AAUCCAUAGGUUAAUGAGGCGAACCGGGGGAACUGAAACAUCUAAGUACCCCGAGGAAAAGAAAUCAACCGAGAUUCCCCCAGUAGCGGCGAGCGAACGGGGAGGAGCCCAGAGCCUGAAUCAGCAUGUGUGUUAGUGGAAGCGUCUGGAAAGGCGCGCGAUACAGGGUGACAGCCCCGUACACAAAAGCGCAUGUGCUGUGAGCUCGAUGAGUAGGGCGGGACACGUGGUAUCCUGUCUGAAUAUGGGGGGACCAUCCUCCAAGGCUAAAUACUCCUGACUGACCGAUAGUGAACCAGUACCGUGAGGGAAAGGCGAAAAGAACCCCGGCGAGGGGAGUGAAAAAGAACCUGAAACCGUGUACGUACAAGCAGUGGGAGCACCCUUCGGGGUGUGACUGCGUACCUUUUGUAUAAUGGGUCAGCGACUUAUAUUCUGUAGCAAGGUUAACCGUAUAGGGGAGCCGGAGGGAAACCGAGUCUUAAUUGGGCGUUAAGUUGCAGGGUAUAGACCCGAAACCCGGUGAUCUAGCCAUGGGCAGGUUGAAGGUUGGGUAACACUAACUGGAGGACCGAACCGACUAAUGUUGAAAAAUUAGCGGAUGACCUGUGGCUGGGGGUGAAAGGCCAAUCAAACCGGGAGAUAGCUGGUUCUCCCCGAAAGCUAUUUAGGUAGCGCCUCGUGAAUUCAUCUCCGGGGGUAGAGCACUGUUUCGGCUAGGGGGCCAUCCCGGCUUACCAACCCGAUGCAAACUGCGAAUACCGGAGAAUGUUAUCACGGGAGACACACGGCGGGUGCUAACGUCCGUCGUGAAGAGGGAAACAACCCAGACCGCCAGCUAAGGUCCCAAAGUCAUGGUUAAGUGGGAAACGAUGUGGGAAGGCCCAGACAGCCAGGAUGUUGGCUUAGAAGCAGCCAUCAUUUAAAGAAAGCGUAAUAGCUCACUGGUCGAGUCGGCCUGCGCGGAAGAUGUAACGGGGCUAAACCAUGCACCGAAGCUGCGGCAGCGAACGUAUCACCCAAGACAACUUUACGGAGUUGACGAUUGACGGAGCGAAGCGACGUCAAAGCGUUCAUUAAAGUCGAGUUGGCUUAGGGAUACGUUCGUUGGGUAGGGGAGCGUUCUGUAAGCCUGUGAAGGUGUGUCGUGAGGCAUGCUGGAGGUAUCAGAAGUGCGAAUGCUGACAUAAGUAACGAUAAAGCGGGUGAAAAGCCCGCUCGCCGGAAGACCAAGGGUUCCUGUCCAACGUUAAUCGGGGCAGGGUGAGUCGACCCCUAAGGCGAGGCCGAAAGGCGUAGUCGAUGGGAAACGGGUUAAUAUUCCCGUACUUGGUGUUACUGCGAAGGGGGGACGGAGAAGGCUAUGUUGGCCGGGCGACGGUUGUCCCGGUUUAAGCGUGUAGGUGUGUGUUCCAGGUAAAUCCGGUUC